This 256-nucleotide ribosomal RNA is filed under the name uncultured bacterium. RNAcentral's name for it is "partial 16S ribosomal RNA". It matches the Rfam family "Bacterial small subunit ribosomal RNA", at positions 524 to 777 of the family's 1533-position model. The record is from RNAcentral.
GACAGAGGCCUCGAGCGUUAGGCGGAAUCACUGGGCUUAAAGCGUGUGUAGGCGGAAGAGUAAGUACCUUGUGAAAUCCCACGGCUCACCCGUGGAACCGCUGGGGUAUACUGCUCUUCUUGGGCCACUCAGGGGCGACUGGAACAAGCGGUGGAGCGGUGAAAUGCGUAGAUAUCGCUUGGAACGCCGAAGGUGAAAAACAGGUCGCUGGGAGUGCGCCGACGCUGAGACACGAAAGCCAGGGGAGCAAAACGGG